This 98-nucleotide unclassified non-coding RNA is filed under the name Polaribacter sp. KT 15. RNAcentral describes it as "Flavo-1 RNA". The record is from RNAcentral. Lineage: Bacteria; Pseudomonadati; Bacteroidota; Flavobacteriia; Flavobacteriales; Flavobacteriaceae.
GUUUAGCCCAGAUUGAACGGUUUGUUUGAGCUCUUUUUAGUUGUAAAUUUUAAAAAAAUUUACAACUAAAAAAGCGAGUAGUGAAAGCUGGAAAUAGC